UCCGAGACGAAUUACAGGCGUUACGAACCGGAGCAAGGACUAAUCUCGCCAUAAUGAGGCAGUGACCUCGGAUUUGCUCCAGAAAAGUCCAGAUUUCGAUUUAGAUAAAGACGUCAUUGUGUCCGCCUGCAAGACGUAUUGAGACUGUACGCAGGAGCUUCAGGUUUUCCCAGCCGGAACACUCAUUGCGGGCGGAAGCUGCGAAGAAUUCAGCGCAGAGUCGAGCCUGCUGGAAUUGAGACAAAGUGUGCUGGCUGAUGACGAGGUGGAACUCUGGAAAUCCGCCACCGUAGAGCUCACGUCGGACGGAGAGGAUGGCGUCGUUGGUAGGGUCUCGGGGUGGAUUGUACGGUCGCCGCCAUUGCGUAGUCGCCUCGAAGGAGACUCAGAAAUACAGAGCCACACACCUGAGGCGCCUGCCUCGGAAAACACGCCGCCAGUGACAGUCUACAACCCAGAGGAGGCAAACGGACAGUUUACUGAGCUGUAGUUUUUUAA
Gasterosteus aculeatus aculeatus (three-spined stickleback) is the source of this 498-nucleotide non-coding RNA. NCBI's taxonomy places the organism in Eukaryota, Metazoa, Chordata, Actinopteri, Perciformes, Gasterosteidae. The record is from RefSeq and is a predicted model, not a curated record.